RNAcentral lists this transfer RNA (69 nucleotides) under Marmota monax (woodchuck). It matches the Rfam family "tRNA". Rfam says of the family: Transfer RNA (tRNA) molecules are approximately 80 nucleotides in length. Lineage: Eukaryota; Metazoa; Chordata; Mammalia; Rodentia; Sciuridae. The record is from Rfam by way of RNAcentral.
GGAGUUGUGGCUCAGUGGUAAAGCACUCUCCUAUCAUGUGUGAGGCAUUGGGUUCGAUUCUCAGCACCA